UUUGGGAAAUGAUGCCAAUACAAACAAAUUAUCAGAGGCGCCAGCUCUGCUGAUUGUUUUGCACGUCAGUCUGAUAUCCCCAA
Diospyros lotus (date-plum) is the source of this 83-nucleotide small nucleolar RNA. RefSeq annotates it as small nucleolar RNA Z122. The record is from RefSeq and is a predicted model, not a curated record. NCBI's taxonomy places the organism in Eukaryota, Viridiplantae, Streptophyta, Magnoliopsida, Ericales, Ebenaceae. The transcript has a single exon.